UUCAAGGAAAGCAGCAUCAUUAUCAUUAUCAGCAAAAGACUCCAGAAAGCAAGCGAGAACUCCCAAAAAUCAAGCAUACAAUAAAGUUUCUAAUGUGUAAUGAACCUUGAUCAUUUGGAACAUCAAUGGUGAUCUCAAUCGCAUACAUUCAAGAUCGACAAGGGAUCAACACAUCAAAGGUUUGUUUGUAACUAUUGUGUAUAAUAAUAACAGAGCUUAAAGUUAUCAAUAGCUAUCAUGGCUUCUAAAUUAGAUAACAACAUAACAUUGGGAUAAUGGAUGUAAAUGCAUAAAAAAAAGCUCCCUCCUUCGAUGCUACAAAGAUGUCACUGCCAAUCUUGGCUUGGUAUAGCCCAUACUAAUAAGUUUUUGUAUCAAUAUUUUCUCAGCUUCUAUCUGCAAUCCAUGAAAGUUGGAAAUCAAUAUUGAAUUUAAAAACAAUGCUGAAAACCAAUAUCAAAUUUAAAAAUUAAAAUGUAUGAAGUGAUGAAAGAUAAGGUAGUUUCAUCGCUGGGAAAAUUGAGAAUUAAGCAUCAAUUUCAAGUGGCUGAUUGCAUUUUUCUUCCAUAAUAUAUAAUGCUAGUGUGAUACGAACCAAUAUAAAAAACAAUGAAACAGUAAAUGAAAAUCAA
RNAcentral lists this long non-coding RNA (632 nucleotides) under Trifolium pratense (red clover). RNAcentral describes it as "long non-coding RNA (TPRA_LNC005893)". Lineage: Eukaryota; Viridiplantae; Streptophyta; Magnoliopsida; Fabales; Fabaceae. The record is from RNAcentral.